CAGGUAUGGACAACAAUUUGAUGUGAUAGUUACGCAGUGGUAAAGGCAUAAGAAAGAUUUCCUGCAAUAAAAAGCAUUUCAUUCAAAGCACGGAGCGCCGUCCUGGAUGUCAUAAAGAAAUAAGAUCCCUGGGGACGAGAGUUACUGAAGGUUUGACUAAUCUGGAAUGCUUUAUACUCAGAAAUUAGUGACUUUAAGAUGAACGUGUGAGUUAUCUAGCGUCGUUUAUAAAUAAGUGUUGAGCAAAAUCCAUGGUUAAGAAAAAGAUUCUUCAAAUUAUUCAAUAUUUAUAUUAAGCGGCAGGUAUAUUGAAAAGGGAUGUGUUUUUUUUAUUUUCGGAUGUGGGUUUCGCAAACAAGUUACUACUUAAGCUCCGGUUAGCUGACUAAAAUCUGGAAAGGUCAUAGAGAAAACAUGUCCCUUGCCUACCUGAACCGUUCUGAACAGUCAGAUUCGACGCCUGGAUAACGAAAUAAUAAUCGCCUCCAUGUUCAGCUAAGCGAUAUUGUAUAUUUUGUAAAUGACAUCUAUCGUUUAGAGAACACUUUUUCAUGCCACUGAUCUCAAAAUUUUUGUCUAAAGAUGAAAUAAAUCUUA
Hydractinia symbiolongicarpus is the source of this 597-nucleotide long non-coding RNA. RefSeq lists it as uncharacterized. Lineage: Eukaryota; Metazoa; Cnidaria; Hydrozoa; Anthoathecata; Hydractiniidae. The transcript is spliced from 3 exons. The record is from RefSeq and is a predicted model, not a curated record.